This 652-nucleotide ribosomal RNA is filed under the name Stenotrophomonas sp. RNAcentral's name for it is "bacterial SSU rRNA". It matches the Rfam family "Bacterial small subunit ribosomal RNA", at positions 100 to 749 of the family's 1533-position model. The record is from RNAcentral. Lineage: Bacteria; Pseudomonadati; Pseudomonadota; Gammaproteobacteria; Lysobacterales; Lysobacteraceae.
GACGGGUGAGGAAUACAUCGGAAUCUACUCUGUCGUGGGGGAUAACGUAGGGAAACUUACGCUAAUACCGCAUACGACCUACGGGUGAAAGCAGGGGAUCUUCGGACCUUGCGCGAUUGAAUGAGCCGAUGUCGGAUUAGCUAGUUGGCGGGGUAAAGGCCCACCAAGGCGACGAUCCGUAGCUGGUCUGAGAGGAUGAUCAGCCACACUGGAACUGAGACACGGUCCAGACUCCUACGGGAGGCAGCAGUGGGGAAUAUUGGACAAUGGGCGCAAGCCUGAUCCAGCCAUACCGCGUGGGUGAAGAAGGCCUUCGGGUUGUAAAGCCCUUUUGUUGGGAAAGAAAUCCAGCCGGCUAAUACCUGGUUGGGAUGACGGUACCCAAAGAAUAAGCACCGGCUAACUUCGUGCCAGCAGCCGCGGUAAUACGAAGGGUGCAAGCGUUACUCGGAAUUACUGGGCGUAAAGCGUGCGUAGGUGGUUAUUUAAGUCCGUUGUGAAAGCCCUGGGCUCAACCUGGGAACUGCAGUGGAUACUGGAUGACUAGAAUGUGGUAGAGGGUAGCGGAAUUCCUGGUGUAGCAGUGAAAUGCGUAGAGAUCAGGAGGAACAUCCAUGGCGAAGGCAGCUACCUGGACCAACAUUGACACUGA